Long non-coding RNA from Patella vulgata (common limpet), 470 nucleotides. RefSeq lists it as uncharacterized. The record is from RefSeq and is a predicted model, not a curated record. The transcript has 5 exons. NCBI's taxonomy places the organism in Eukaryota, Metazoa, Mollusca, Gastropoda, Patellidae.
CAGAGGAGUGUGUGAAUACGGCUCCGAACGUCAAAGUGAAAGUAUGUUCUGCCAAUUUAUUGGUAUUUUACUUGGAACGUACAGGAACCGGCCUGAGCGGAUAUUGUGUCGGCUCACUAGAAGGCGGUGAUAUCCUGGAUUUUAGAACCGUACCGAGUGUCACUUAUGAUCAAGUUACGGCGGCAUAUCUCACACAAUUCCGGUUCUUCUGCAACUUCACCGAAUCAACAGACGACGUAUUAUUUUAUCAAGCAUACUGGUACGUGAACAGCCGUUUUAUAUACAGUUCACCUUUCGCUGCUUAUAAUGAUCCGGCCAACGAACGAGUACUAACAGAAGCUAAGCUACGGGAACAGGGUGUGGUCACGGUUGGCUUUGAUAUUUAUUGUGACAUUAGAGCAGGUAGACGCGUCAACGGAGCAGCAGGAUUUCCAUCUACGAGUAAACCAAUAUUUAUUGGUGUAGAGGUU